This 3461-nucleotide long non-coding RNA is filed under the name Sus scrofa (pig). Its description in RNAcentral is "lncRNA (ENSSSCG00000059344.1)". The record is from RNAcentral. Lineage: Eukaryota; Metazoa; Chordata; Mammalia; Artiodactyla; Suidae.
UCAGAACAUCCCCAAAGACUACCAACAGGUAUUUGUUAUUAGACAAGGCUAAAGUUCAUAUGAGAAAGUAAGAGAAGCCAGAAAAUCUGUGAAAAAAGAUAGUGUUGGUUUUUUAAACUGUAGCUACAGGAAUUACAACUUCUGGUUCAUAUAUAGGCAGAUCAAAACAACUAAGCCAGGAAACAUCUAAAUACUUAACGUAAAACUAGUAUACGGCACUUAAGGUAAAAAAAAAAAAAAAAAAAAAAAAAAAAAAGAUGGAUUAUUUGACAAGUGUUGGCAAAACUGGGUAGGCGUUGGUUUAAAAAAAAAAAGUUGAAUUUCUACCUGGACCUCAUAUACAAAAAUUCUAGAUGGCUCUAAAUUAAAAGUACAGUAUGAAACAAUCUUAAUGUGGGUAAGGGAUUUCUAGGUAUGACAAAUCCCGAAAUUAGAAAAGAUUUAUUUAAAAAGCUUAAGUUGUGCUUGACGAAGUAAAUACUUCAGGGAAAGUUUGCAGCUCCUUUCACAGAAAAUGAUUAAUUUCCUUGAAUUAUAAAGAGCUCCUACAAGUGAGUCGGACAACCUAGAAGAAAAUUGUUGAAUGUUUUAAGAGCUCACAGAAGACUGAAUAUGUUUUAAAGAUUCUCAACUCAGUCAAUUGAAACUUAGAUUGCUUUCACAUUGACAAAGUUCAGAAAGGCUUCUUGUCAUUUUACCUAGGCAACAGGGAAAUAGGAAUUCAUACAUUGAUAGCGGGAGUAUAAAUUAGCAGAGUAUGAAGGGCGGUUUAGAAACAUGCUUCUUUGACAUCUAAAUCAUCCCCUCAAUACCUAACCUAUAUAAUAGGUAGCUCAUAAACAAAUGGAAAGUCUUUUCACAUUCACUAAAUUCACAAAAACUGAAAAUGCCAGCUGUUAAUAAAGAUAGGUGACAUAGAAACAAGAACCCUUACAAUGAUAUUUUAGUGUAACUACUUUAGAAACCAGUGUGCCAUUACCUAGUAAAGUUAAAUGCUUGCAUGUGCUGACUCAGCAGUAAUCCUACCUUAAAACAAGUUCAUAUGUGUGCCAGAAAAUAUAUGAGUCUGCAUGUCAGCAUUGUAAACAGCAGAAAAGAAAAAAAACCCAAUAUCCCAUAGGAUGGGUAAAAUUUUUUAAAUGGUCCUGAUCAAAAGAAGCCAGUUUCAGUAAAAUGCCUACAGAGAAAUGAUUUAUAUAAAAUUCAAAAACAGACAACACUAAAAAAUGCACACAUAAGUGUGUUAUACAAAAUUAAGAUGGUUACAUUUUGGAAAGAGCUGAGGGUGUAAUCAUGAAGAGUUUGGUGGUGAGUACAUUUUACUGUUCUUAAAUGGUACAUAAAUAUAUACUCAUGCAUAUUUCAUAUAUAGCUUCCUAGCACCCGAGAAGAUUUAUCUGGUAACCACAAACUAGCAUACUGAUCUCCCUUUAUGUCUUCAGCAAGCUCAUCUUUUAUAAUAAAAUCAGGCCUGCCUGGAUAAAAAAGCAGGUAAAUUUAUGGUAAUACAAUAGAUGUGUUAGCUCAAGUUUAUUUCCUUCCAGCAUACUUAGGGACUAAAGGUCCAUGAGGGCUUUUGUUGUUAAACUGUUAAGGUAUCUGGUACUUCCUACAAGAUCAAGCAAUGUGUCUAUAUUCACCUUCUGGCAUCUUUAUUGAUAAACUUCUCUAGGUACUUUGUUUUUACAUUUUCAUUUUGAAGGCACGUUUUCCCAAAUAGAAAAUGUGUUUAAGAUGUCUUCCUAACACUUGUUAACUUACCACAACUUAGAUUUUAAAAAAUUCAACUUAUGUUCAGAGGCCCACUCUAUUGAAAAGGAAAGAAUUGGUGGUUACUGAGCGCUUCCUGCAUGUCUGCUAAAAUUUAACAAGCAUUUCUGGUUUUAAGCCUCAUCUCUUUUGUCAGCUGUAGGCAUACACAUUUUCUUUAAGCAUCUUAAAAUGAAUUUUAAUUUUCCUGAAAUCCUUUUAGGACUAGCUUAAAUAAUGCCCAAAUAUUAUAAAUUCAUAGUAUUUCCACUAGAUGGUGCCAUUGACCUGUAUUAAUCAUAGAAUAUUAGUACAGUAUUUUGUAAGAACAUAAAAUACAUUCAUAUAAGGAGCUCCUUAAACUCACCCUCAGUUAACAUGACAUUUUUACAUGGAAAGAAUCUUGAAAAUUGUUUUCUUUACAGCAGUUUUUCUUUUUUUUCCUCCUUUUCUUUUUCAGCAGCCCCCAGAGCAUAUGGAAGUUUCCCAGCCAGGGAUCAAAUCCAAACUGAAGCUGUGACCCAUGCCAUAGCUGCAGCAACCCUGGAUCCUUAAUCCACUAUGCCAGCCCAGGGGUCAAACUGGUGCCUCCACAGAGACAAGCCAGAUCAUUAACCCAGUGUGCCACAGUGGGAACUCCUACAGCAAUUUUAAAAUUUCAAUGAACUUCUCCCUUAGAACACAAAUCUUGCGGAUGUUUCCUUAAAUUCAAGUAAGGGAUUGUGAUCUAAGCAGGACAUCUCAAACUUUAAUGUGCAACCUUGUUAAAAUGAAGAUCCUGAUUCAGUAAGUCUAGGUGGAGCCCAAGUUACUGCAUUUCUAACAGAUUUCCCAGUGAUGCCUUGCAGCUUGUUUAUGGACCUUACUUUGAUUUAGCAAAGACCAAGAGAGUCCUUGGGAACCUGACGUUCCCUUAUGACAUCAGGAACUGAAUAGAUCACAUUUCACAAGAAAGCAGGGGCUUCUGGCUAUUUUGUUUGCUCAAGUGUCUUCAGUACCCUGAGCAAUUCCUGAAACAAAAGUAGAUGCUUAAUAAUUUUUGUUGAAUGAAACAAAUGGGGACAGUAUCUAAGUAUAUGCUAAUUCCUUUCAUUUUCUUGAUAGUCUAUAACGUCAGCUCUAUUAUUAUUCCUGUUCAUAGAGAAGGAAACUAAAAUUAUAUGUAGUGGAACCAUGGAUUUAAACUCAAAUAAUUGAAUUUGUCACAGUGGCCCCAGAGCCCAUGCUUUUAACAAAAAUGCUAUACUGCCACUUAUUUUGAGGUACCCUGUCAUUAACAAAAUGUGAAGUCCCAAACUGAUUCAGGCAAUUACUGCCCAAAGGCCUGCCCUAAUAUAUAUGCUUUUGGUCACUUGUUCUUGAGAGACAUGCAGCCCAACACUCAGGGUUCAUGAAAGAAAAUGCCACCAGUCCUUACCCCAUCAUCUAAUUUGGUUAGAUCUUGUAGCUUCCACCCCAAAUUACAGGUGAUCAAUAAAGACAGGAGCCUCUUAAAUUCCCCUACAUAUCCAGCAAAUAGAUUUAUUUAACACCACCUACCUAGCAGGUCUUUUGCUGGGCCAGGGUUUUGUACUGAGACAUCUCUGGCUUCUUCAUGGGAAUUGCCCUUCCAGUUAUCAUAUUGUCAGAAGACAGUGUUACUUUACAUUGUGUUUUUUUUGUUUGUUUUUUCUAAUCUUCUGCAGCUACCACUUGAUCUCAUUUGCAAAUAU